GAUGAACGCUAGCGAUAGGCCUAACACAUGCAAGUCGAGGGGCAUCACAUGAAGUAGCAAUACGGAUGGUGGCGACCGGCGCACGGGUGAGUAACACGUAUGCAACCUGCCUUCAACAAGGGGAUAACCCGUUGAAAAGACGGACUAAUACCCUAUAACACAGGGGUCCCGCAUGGGAAUAUUUGUUAAAGGACAACCGGUUGAAGAUGGGCAUGCGUUCCAUUAGCUAGUUGGCGGGGUAACGGCCCACCAAGGCAACGAUGGAUAGGGGAACUGAGAGGUUUAUCCCCCACACUGGUACUGAGACACGGACCAGACUCCUACGGGAGGCAGCAGUGAGGAAUAUGGUCAAUGGACGCAAGUCUGAACCAGCCAACGUCGCGUGAAGGAAGACGGCCCUACGGGUUGUAAACUUCUUUUAUACGGGAAUAAAGUGCCCCACGCGUGGGGUUUUGCAUGUACCGUAUGAAUAAGGAUCGGCUAACUCCCGUGCCAGCAGCCGCGGUAAA
This 509-nucleotide ribosomal RNA is filed under the name uncultured bacterium. RNAcentral describes it as "bacterial SSU rRNA". It matches the Rfam family "Bacterial small subunit ribosomal RNA", at positions 28 to 524 of the family's 1533-position model. The record is from RNAcentral.